RNAcentral lists this ribosomal RNA (253 nucleotides) under uncultured bacterium. RNAcentral's name for it is "partial 16S ribosomal RNA". It matches the Rfam family "Bacterial small subunit ribosomal RNA", at positions 524 to 776 of the family's 1533-position model. The record is from RNAcentral.
UACGAAGGGGGCUAGCGUUGCUCGGAAUCACUGGGCGUAAAGGGUGCGUAGGCGGGUCUUUAAGUCAGGGGUGAAAUCCUGGAGCUCAACUCCAGAACUGCCUUUGAUACUGAGGAUCUUGAGUUCGGGAGAGGUGAGUGGAACUGCGAGUGUAGAGGUGAAAUUCGUAGAUAUUCGCAAGAACACCAGUGGCGAAGGCGACUCACUGGCCCGAUACUGACGCUGAGGCACGAAAGCGUGGGGAGCAAACAGG